Phthorimaea operculella (potato tuberworm) is the source of this 72-nucleotide non-coding RNA. The record is from the annotation of a GenBank genome assembly. Lineage: Eukaryota; Metazoa; Arthropoda; Insecta; Lepidoptera; Gelechiidae.
GCAUUGAUAGCUCAGUGGUAGAGCGGUAGGAUGGUACCCCAUGCGGCUCGGGUUCGAGCCCCUGUCGAUGCA